UGAGGAAUAUUGGUCAAUGGGCGGGAGCCUGAACCAGCCAAGUCGCGUGAGGGAAGACGGUCCUAUGGAUUGUAAACCUCUUUUGUCGGGGAGCAAAGAGGCCACGUGUGGUCAAAAGCGAGAGUACCCGAAGAAAAAGCAUCGGCUAACU
Molecule: ribosomal RNA, 151 nt
Filed under: uncultured bacterium
Lineage: Bacteria
Description: partial 16S ribosomal RNA
Rfam family: Bacterial small subunit ribosomal RNA
Source: RNAcentral